GUGGGGAAUUUUGGACAAUGGGCGAAAGCCUGAUCCAGCCAUGCCGCGUGCAGGAUGAAGGCCUUCGGGUUGUAAACUGCUUUUGUACGGAACGAAAAGACUCCUUCUAAUAAAGGCGGUCCAUGACGGUACCGUAAGAAUAAGCACCGGCUAACUACGUGCCAGCAGCCGCGGUAAUACGUAGGGUGCAAGCGUUAAUCGGAAUUACUGGGCGUAAAGCGUGCGCAGGCGGUUAUAUAAGACAGAUGUGAAAUCCCCGGGCUCAACCUGGGAACUGCAUUUGUGACUGUAUAGCUAGAGUACGGUAGAGGGGGAUGGAAUUCCGCGUGUAGCAGUGAAAUGCGUAGAUAUGCGGAGGAACACCGAUGGCGAAGGCAAUCCCCUGGACCUGUACUGACGCUCAUGCACGAAAGCGUGGGGAGCAAACAGGAUUAGAUACCCUGGUAGUCC
Molecule: ribosomal RNA, 450 nt
Filed under: uncultured bacterium
Lineage: Bacteria
Description: partial 16S ribosomal RNA
Rfam family: Bacterial small subunit ribosomal RNA
Source: RNAcentral